AACAUCGACAUUUCGAACGCACAUUGCGGUCCACGGAUACAAUUCCCGGACCACGCCUGGCUGAGGGUCGUUUAUAAUAUAAAAACUGCUUAUCUUUCUCUCUAUUUAUAGAGAAAAAAAGAUUCAAGCGAAAUAAUGAAUGUUCAUCAAAUAUAUAUAUUUCUUUUUCUUUAUUAGAAAUUAGAAAAUAUAAUAUUGGUGUCAUUUGAAACAAGUUGAAUAUAUUUCAGUCACAUUUGAAAGAAAAAAAAAUAACACAAACAACUUCUAUUGAACGAUAAAUUCACGUAUCAAUAUAUAAAAGACACUUGUUUAAUUGAUAUAUUGUGCAUUUAAAAAUUUCUGUUUGGUUGUUGUCAUUGUGUCAAUGAGUAAGUUAUACUUCAGACCGAUGAUUAUCAAUAUGCCAACAGAAUUAAAUGACAUAAAAAAAUAUAUCAUACAAGAUUUUAUUUUGAACGCUUUGUCUUAUUGAUACAAAUAAGUGAAUUAGUUUGUUGUUUAUUUUUUUUUUGUGACUAAAAUUUUCUUUAUGACGACCUCAGAUUAGGCGAGAC
RNAcentral lists this unclassified non-coding RNA (557 nucleotides) under Leptopilina aff. heterotoma BN-2010b. RNAcentral's name for it is "partial ITS2". Lineage: Eukaryota; Metazoa; Arthropoda; Insecta; Hymenoptera; Figitidae. The record is from RNAcentral.